This 253-nucleotide ribosomal RNA is filed under the name uncultured bacterium. Its description in RNAcentral is "partial 16S ribosomal RNA". It matches the Rfam family "Bacterial small subunit ribosomal RNA", at positions 524 to 776 of the family's 1533-position model. The record is from RNAcentral.
UACGGGGGGGGCAAGCGUUAUUCGGAUUUACUGGGCGUAAAGCGCGCGCAGGCGGUUUGUUAAGUGAGAAGUGAAAGCCCUGGGCUUAACCCAGGAACUGCUUCUCAUACUGGCAGACUAGAGUGUGGGAGAGGAGGUUGGAAUUCCCGGUGUAGCGGUGAAAUGCGUAGAGAUCGGGAGGAACACCAGUGGCGAAGGCGGAUCUCUGGACCACUACUGACGCUGAGGCGCGAAAGCGUGGGGAGCAAACAGG